UGUAGUUAGUGGCAUUGUAGUUGUAAUUAGUGGAGUUGUAGUUUCAGGUUCAUCAGUUGAGAUUUCUGGGGUUGAUGUUUUGGUGGUCAGUGGUGUCUCUGUUGUAAUUGUUGUAAGUGGGGUUGUAGUUGUAGGUUCCUCAGUUGUUUUUGUAGUGGUGGUUCCUGUUGUAGUACUUGUGAAGGUUGACACUUGAAAAUCUGGACUAGAGUGGGUGGACGUGGUCCCAGUUUCUAUGUUUGGUGCUGUUGUUUCUGUUGUGUACACAACUGUAGUUAUGGGUGUCUCUGUUGUACUUGUAGUUAGUGGCAUUGUGGUUGUAGUUAGUGGAGAAGUAGUUUCAGGUUCAUCAGUUGAGAUUUCUGGGGUUGAUGUUUUGGUGGUCAGUGGUGUCUCUGUUGUAAUUGUUGUAAGUGGGGUUGUAGUUGUAGGUUCCUCAGUUGUUUUUGUAGUGGUGGUUCCUGAUGUAGUACUUGUGAAGGUUGACACUUGAAAAUCUGGACUGGAGUGGGUGGACGUGGUCCCAGUUUCUAUGUUUGGUGCUGUUGUUUCUGUUGUGUACACAACUGUGGUUAUGGGUGUCUCUGUUGUACUUGUAGUUAGUGGCAUUGUAGUUGUAGUUAGUGGAGUUGUAGUUUCAGGUUCAUCAGUUGAGAUUUCUGGGGUUGAUGUUUUGGUGGUCAGUGGUGUCUCUGUUGUAAUUGUUGUAAGUGAGGUUGUAGUUUCAGGUUCAUCAGUUGAGAUUUCUGGGGUUGAUGUUUUGGUGGUCAGUGGUGUCUCUGUUGUAAUUGUUGUAAGUGGGGUUGUAGUUGUAGGUUCAUCAGUUGAGAUUUCUGGGGUUGAUGUUUUGGUGGUCAGUGGUGUCUCUGUUGUAAUUGUUGUAAGUGGGGUUGUAGUUGUAGGUUCCUCAGUUGUUUUUGUAGUGGUGGUUCCUGAUGUAGUACUUGUGAAGGUUGACACUUGAAAAUCUGGACUGGAGUGGGUGGACAUGGUCCCAGUUUCUAUGUUUGGUGCUGUUGUUUCUGUUGUGUACACAACUGUGGUUAUGGGUGUCUCUGUUGUACUUGUAGUUAAUGGCAUUGUAGUUGUAGUUAGUGGAGUUGUAGUUUCAGGUUCAUCAGUUGAGAUUUCUGGGGUUGAUGUUUUGGUGGUCAGUGGUGUCUCUGUUGUAAUUGUUGUAAGUGGGGUUGUAGUUGUAGGUUCCUCAGAUGUUUUUGUAGUGGUGGUUCCUGAUGUAGUACUUGUGAAGGUUGACACUUGAAAAUCUGGACUAGAGUGGGUGGACGUGGUCCCAGUUUCUAUGUUUGGUGCUGUUGUUUCUGUUGUGUACACAACUGUGGUUAUGGGUGUCUCUAUUGUACUUGUAGUUAGUGGCAUUGUAGUUGUAGUUAGUGGAGUUGUAGUUUCAGGUUCAUCAGUUGAGAUUUCUGGGGUUGAUGUUUUGGUGGUCAGUGGUGUCUCUGUUGUAAUUGUUGUAAGUGGGGUUGUAGUUGUAGGUUCCUCAGUUGUUUUUGUAGUGGUGGUUCCUGAUGUAGUACUUGUGAAGGUUGACACUUGAAAAUCUGGACUAGAGUGGGUGGACAUGGUCCCAGUUUCUAUGUUUGGUGCUGUUGUUUCUACAACUGUGGUUAUGGGUGUCUCCGUUGUACUUGUAGU
Molecule: long non-coding RNA, 1656 nt
Organism: Ictalurus furcatus (blue catfish)
Lineage: Eukaryota; Metazoa; Chordata; Actinopteri; Siluriformes; Ictaluridae
Exons: 3
Source: RefSeq, a predicted model, not a curated record